Molecule: non-coding RNA, 72 nt
Organism: Phrynosoma platyrhinos (Desert horned lizard)
Lineage: Eukaryota; Metazoa; Chordata; Lepidosauria; Squamata; Phrynosomatidae
Source: the annotation of a GenBank genome assembly
GCCAGUGUAGUGCAGUGGUUUGAGUAUUAUAUUAUGACUCUGGAAACCAGGGUUCAAAUCCCUGUUCAGCCA